RNAcentral lists this long non-coding RNA (460 nucleotides) under Chinchilla lanigera (long-tailed chinchilla). RNAcentral describes it as "lncRNA (ENSCLAG00000026245.1)". The record is from RNAcentral. Lineage: Eukaryota; Metazoa; Chordata; Mammalia; Rodentia; Chinchillidae.
CUUGCUGUUUGUCACCCCUUCCCUCCAGGAGUGUUAUUACUUCUUGCCAGCCAGAAGCCACUGAGGUGCCCGCCCCUCCGGGCAUGCUCAGUGCUCUGGUCAGGCUUUGACCACCGGACAGGCAGUAAUCUACCAGCCCAGGGAGUCCCCAGUGCCCGGGUCCCUUUAAAUCGGGCUGGCCGGUUGCCAGGCAACGGUGCGGCCCGAGCUGCACUGCAGAGGCUCUUCCCGGAGCCGGCCGGGCCAAGUCGCUGUGGACAGAGCCUAAGGAGGGGCUGCCGCCUGCCAGCGGCGGCGGACUUCAGGGAAGAGAAGACAGAGCUCCCAAGACCGUACCCGCACUUCCAGUUCAAGCUGGAGAAGAACACAGUAUAAGACCUUUGGCUCAGGAAGGGUAAGUAUAGUAGUAUUGGCUGCAGUCUUGUAUCUAAGGACAGAGACUUACCUCGCACACACCUUC